Polypterus senegalus (gray bichir) is the source of this 2955-nucleotide long non-coding RNA. RefSeq lists it as uncharacterized. The record is from RefSeq and is a predicted model, not a curated record. The transcript is spliced from 9 exons. NCBI's taxonomy places the organism in Eukaryota, Metazoa, Chordata, Cladistia, Polypteriformes, Polypteridae.
CUCUCCCUCUCUCCCUCUCCCUCUCUCAUUCGCUUAACAGUCAGCUUCAGUCUCUCACAAGGGGGAGAUUUGAUUCUGCGAAAAAUCAUCCUCUGCUAUUUCUGCUGCAAGGGCCUCCCCUUCAGACAGCUUGUGCCAGAGCAAGAGUUUUUCUUUUUUUUUCUCCCUUUACUACUAAAUGGAUUUUUAACCCUGUGACUGCAACGACUUUAUGGCAGCCUGAACUCAUUUGGUAUUUUCAACAGGAAAAAUAUCUUUACGGAUACAUUUUGAUGUUUGUUUGUUUGUGGGGUUUGUUACCCAACUCCAUUUUUCUGGUGUUUAGAGGGAGCCGCAAGUUCCAGAUUUUAUUUUUUGUUUCAAUUUUAUUUAUUUUUUAGCAUCAAACAUUUCAGUAUGCUUACUAGAAGUAUUCCAUAUAGUUGGGUCUUCAUUCUUCCCCAAAACCACAAGUGAAGUGGGGCGCAGGAUAUAUAUAUAUAAUUUUUUUUUAAAUAUUAUUUUAUCCUUUUUUACUCCUUUCUUUUGAGAAUGGCAGUACUUGCAGCGGCCCCAGGAAAAAAUGGCUGUAUAUUGUGAGAGUACUCUGCACAUCUGCGGGUAAAGACAGCAUGCAAUUUGAUUGCGAAACACAUGAAGUGGAGCGCUCACUUUUUUCUACCUCAUUUUCACAACUUUAGCACCUGGAAGUGGAUGUCUUAACUCUCAUCUACUCUUGGUUAUUGAAAUACUGCUGUGAUUUGAACAAUACUGUUGACCUCAUAUUCUGAGCUGUUGUAACUUAACCAGCAUAUAAGUACAACUAAAGGAGUAUUGGGAGGCAGGGCUCAUUCUGGCAACAAUGAGCAGAAAGCAAGAAGCCAAACCUGAAUGUGACAACAGCAAACUGACUCUGUCUCAUCUCAAUUAGACCUAUUUAAACUACAGAUUUCAAAAUAUUCUAUGACAAGAACCAAUUAAAAUGAGGGCAAAUGGCUGACAAUACAAUGGGUACAUCAAGAGACAGGAUCACCAUGAACACCACUUUUGAGCGCUCCCUAAGGCUAUUUACAAGGACUGAAAGAUGGAAUCAUUAGAGUUCCUAUUGCACUUUGGAACAUAAGAACAUAAGAAGUUUGACAAACAAGAGUGGAAAGACCACCCAGAGGAAACCCACAUGAAUAACAUUCAAGUUCCACGCAUGGAGCUCCCAGAACAUGAACCCUGGUCUGCUUACUGUGAGGCACCAGCACUACCACUGCACCCACCUUAUUAGUGACUGAUACGAAGAAUAUUUUCAGAGUCACAGCUAUCCUGGCAGAAAAGAAUCAUGGAUCGCAGGGCCUUUUUAUUCAACACACACUGACAGCCCAGGUCAAAAACUGGAAUACCUUGCUGAAAUACCCUACCAACAUAGGGAGAACAAGAACAUUCCACACCAACAACAUCCUACUGCAAGAUUUAAACUCAGAAUAUUUGUCUUGGGAGACACAACCACUAUUUAGUGCACCAACUGUAGUCAUCUUUAAAAUGUAAAUACUGUGGAUGUAUCUUGAUUGUAACACACAGAAAACCAUAGACCUACCAAAUCAAAGCAUAAAUAUUGUUUCUUCCAGUGAAAUUUGAAAUGUUGUUGAGUUUUGCCUGAUUAAGUUAUGAACUAUUAUAACUGUUAAGGUAUCUAGCUAAGGCUGAUAACAAAUCAUUAGGCUAUUCAGCAGAGCUGAAGGGGCUCGACAAAAUUUGAAGUAAAAACAAAACGAGGUCAAUAUCAGAAUUUUUUUCACUAAAAUGUAUGAUUUCUUCAGCACAAGCCACUUGCAAACUCUGUUAUAUUUUGUCUAGGACAUACAAGUGCCAGAUGGCAGAGAAGAAGAAAAAUAAACAAGACUAGGAGAUGGAUAAUAAUUGAAAUGAGCAAUCAGAAACAUGAAAAAGGUCAGAGUACCAGGAUGAGACUGUACAGACUCAGAAUGAGACAGUGAACCUUUUAUGAAGGGGAUCAAGAGAUCAGAACAUAGUUGGGAGUUUGUGCCACGGUUGAUACCAAAGAAUGCUAGGCAAUCAACCGUCAAGUCCAAAAUGCAAGGCAAAAUCAAAGGUCUAAAGAAACAAAGCUAUUCAAAUAUUUAGAAAUCUUUUAACAGAUGUGUAGAUUUGUGCACCAGUACUGUUUUUAUAUAAACCACAAACUUUCUGGUUACAACAUGCUUCCAUUUACUGGUAUUUCUGGGAAAUAUUGUUGUGGCAACAGCCAACUUGAAUUCUCAAAAAUCCCUAAUUGGACGCAUACUAAUUGAAAAUCCAUCAAAGAAAAGAUAUGAAGAAUUAACAAACAUUGUUAAUAAUAAAAGAGGCAAGUUUUUAAAAAACAAUACCACAAGAGUUAGACUCAAAAUUAAAUAAAAAAACAAGGCAAAAUGCCUACACACUUAAUUGCCCAUAACUAUUACCAAAAAGCGUUGAUUUAUUUUAAAAGAAGUGAAUCCAAAGAUUGCAUGAUAUCUAAAUAGAGUUUGUCCAAUGAUGUGGUAUAUGCCAGUCAUGCAGCUUUACACAAAAGGCUGUCAUAAACAACAUGAUGGUGUUCAUAGCAUAACACUACAAAAUGGCACUGUCCUUGAAAAGAAAAUGGCAAUGUGAGAAAUGUUGCAAUAAAUGUAAUGUCAUUUUCUAAGUCGCAAAAUCCAAACCAGGAGCCUCGUGCAUAAUGCUGUACGUAGGAUUCACACUAAAACAUGGCAUAUGGACAAAAAUCUAAAUGUGUGUAUGCGCAAAAAAAUUCAGAUGCAGAAAACCGUGCGUAAGCCAACUUCCACGCACUUCUGCUACAUGAAUCCCGGUCUGCAUGAAAUGUAACGCUCAUGCACGCGCCUGCUAUCCCUCCCAGACUCCUACCAGAACUAUACCUCUUUGAAUAUGCAAAUCAAUAUAAAUAUUCCCUUAAAUUCAGCAUUCUGAGAAAAGACAAUGGCA